Homo sapiens (human) is the source of this 3133-nucleotide long non-coding RNA. NCBI's taxonomy places the organism in Eukaryota, Metazoa, Chordata, Mammalia, Primates, Hominidae. The record is from Ensembl.
AAUCUAUCAACAGAACACAACCCAUAGCCCUACAGUCAUCCAUGAAACCGCCCAGGAAGUCUUCACAUUUGCAGGCUUGCCUUGGCCAAAAUUUCAGGCAGACCCCCAGGAAUUUUGGGAGAGCAGAGGGUCAAGCUGUAAACUCCAAGUACUAGUGUUCAAAUAUUGUGGCCUUUCAGCUCUGGGUUCUUCAAUCCUCCUCCUGGAAUUCUUGGGCGACCUUCCCUUUACUAGGAUUUGCUCCUCUCCUCCUGCUGUGACUGUGUGAAGGGCAGGCAUCAUCACAUGGGGAGCCAAGUACCUCCGUCUCCCCACUUGCCUAAAACAAGCAGGCACAUCCCAUCAGUGAGACUGGAACUUGCAGGAGAAAAUAAGAAGUGAAAUCUCUCUCACACACACAGUUCUACUCAAACUAUAAGCUUUUAUUAUUGUAUUUUACAGAUCAUUCAUUCAGGACAUGCUGCAUCUGGGGUUGGCAUCAUUUCCCUUUUGAAUGACAGAAUGUGCAUAAAAGUCUCUUGCCCACGCUGAACUCACACGUGCCCGGCAGGAAGGAGCUCUCACGAAGUGCCAGCUGGAUGUGAGCUUGCUCUGGCAGCAGCAGUGCUGUCCUUGUUUCUGAGCUGCCACCUAUUCACUGGAGUUAGAAACCUUGUGGGAAAAUGGUGCCUAUUUUUGACAACUGGAUGUCUUCGUGGCCGAGGUCCCUAUGACCUUCCUCUCAAAAGAAUACGUGUAGUUUUAGUUCUCAGACAUCUGGGUCUUGCUCUGUUGCCCAGGCUAGAGUGCAGUAAUGUGAUCAUGGCUCACUGAAGCCUCAGCCUCCGCCUCCUGGGCUCAAGUGAGCCUCCUACCUCAGCCUCCCGAGUAACUGGGACCACAGCAUGUUCUUUUAAACUUCCUAAAGAAGCCCAUGAUAACUGGGAACACGGGCCCUUCACUGAGGCAGGAGAAUCACAUGAGCCACACAUGAUAUCCACUGGAGGAGACAGAAAGUCUGGGAGUGUCAACUGAAUUGAAAGAAAAGGAAAGCAGAGAUGACAGACAGCACACCGGAAGUGACAGGAUAAGCAGUGCAUCUAGCUGGGAAAUAUGUACACUGCCUCCUUCUAUAUCUCAAAAAUCAUCUAGAAUGUUAGAGUGAUUUUCUGGGUCAGAGGGAAGACACGUCUUCAUUUGUUAACUUUUAGAUUUGCGUACCAACUUAUUACUGUAAGCAAUUUAAUUGCAAAGGAUAAAGAACAAGAUAUGAUGCAUCAUCAGGAGAAAAGUCAAGAAUCCAUGUUUAAAUUCAGUUACCUUAUGUAAUCGAAGGUAUACAUGAGCCGAAGAGAGUUUGUCCACAUGAAACCUACAAAGAAUGAAAACCACUUUUAGCAAGAGGUACAAGACAAUCAUCUCCUCAGGCCACAUGCCAUUUAAAGCAUUCUGUUCUAAAAAGUCUUCACUCCAUGCCUGCCACAUGUGAAGCAUCAUGAGGAGUAUAAAGCACAGUCACCACCUCCAAAGGGCUCCCCAUCACCAUGAAGAGGUACGAGAAACACUGAAUUAUGGAGCUGUGAGUAAGUGCCAAGAUGAGUAGAGAUACUAAAUAUUAACUGUACUGGGAAGGGUGAUUUUUCAAGAUAUAAAAAGAACUAUCAGUGAUCAAAGGCUUCAUGAUAAAAAGGAGGCAGUGAGAUUUGGUUGGCCCCUGACUGAAGCAUAGGACUUAGAGCAAAACCAAGGAAAGGAAUUUCAGGUGAAAAGAGUGGGGGAUGAAAGAAGUCAGCAAGUCUCCAAUGCUGCCAGCCUGGGAGAUUAGCAGAACCACAGUUUGGCGGAAACAGAUGACAGUUUCGUUUGUGACAUCCCAAAUUUCAAGUUAUAGCAAAACAAUCCAAAGAGAAUGUCGAAUAGAGAGCUGGAAGAGUUAGGUGGGGCCUAAAGACGCUAAGCAGAACACGUCAUUAAAUGGGUCACAAUUCAAUAAUGUAACCCAAUAAUUCACAAGCACAACAGUUCAUCCGGCCCUAUAUUCUGACAGUGAUACCAAUAUAUGUCUCUUGGGUGAGCACUGCCCUUUACUGACAUUGUCCUAAAAACAUUCAGAAUGUCCCCCACCCCUUAAAUUUACCUUUCAUGAUGGAUCUAUCAUCUAUCAAUUUAAUUAAACCUUUUAAAAUCUAUGCAACAUUCAGGAUAUGAGAUUUUCAUGUUUUCAAUUCACCCAAUGAACUUGACUUUCUCUUUCCAAUACCCAGAAAUGCCCCCUCCGCAUCCCAGCAUCACACAACAAACAAGGUAACACUAUCGCCACUUCGUGAUUCUGUUAACUUUAGUUGAUAUGAUUUGGAUUUGCGUCCCCACCAAGUCUCAUGUCGAAUUGUAAUCCCCAGCGUUAGAAGUGGGGCCUGGUGGGAGGUGACUGGAUCAUGGGGGUGGAUUCUUCAUGAAUGGGUUAGCACCAUCCCUUUGGUGCUAUUCUUAUGAUAGAGUUCUCAUGAGAUCUGUUUAAAAGUGCACAGCCCCGGCACCCUGCUCCUGCCAUGUAAGCCGCCUCGCUUCCCCUUUGCCUUCUGCCAUGAUUAAAAGUUCUAUGAAUGAGGCCUCCCAGAAACAGACACUGCCAUGCUUCCUGUAUAGCCUGCCAAACCAUGAGCCAAUUAAACCUCUUUUCUUUACAAAUUACCCAGUCUCAGGUAUUUCUCUAUAGCAAUGCAAGAUGGACUAAUACAUUAGUCAUACUGCUUCCUUGGUCCUUACCUUUCCAGACUGAAGAAUGUUCAGAAAAUCCUAAAGAGGCAUCAUUACAUCCCAUUAUGUUUCUCUAGCCAUUUUCUUAAGCACUAAUAAAUGUUUUAGAGGUGAAAAUGGUCACCUUCACACCUAGUACAAGAUGUAGACUGUAUGAUUCUAUAUAAAAGUGCCCUCUUUAAAGAGGUUAGUCAUCUUGCUAUUCACUAUGCAUACAGAAAAAUAUUAGGCACUUUUGGCACACAGUUUAUGAUGACUCGAGGUUUUACUCUUAAUCAUUAGUGAUAGCCAGAAAUGGACAUAACAUCUUAUUUGACUUACAUUUCUCCAAGUGGUUCACUUACUCAUUUGCAUUCCCAUGUGAGAGAUUCAUACUAAUUAUCACCUUCAGCUGGAC